This 356-nucleotide RNase P RNA is filed under the name Legionellaceae bacterium. Its description in RNAcentral is "RNase P RNA component class A". It matches the Rfam family "Bacterial RNase P class A". Rfam says of the family: Ribonuclease P (RNase P) is a ubiquitous endoribonuclease, found in archaea, bacteria and eukarya as well as chloroplasts and mitochondria. Its best characterised activity is the generation of mature 5'-ends of tRNAs by cleaving the 5'-leader elements of precursor-tRNAs. Cellular RNase Ps are ribonucleoproteins. The record is from RNAcentral. Lineage: Bacteria; Pseudomonadati; Pseudomonadota; Gammaproteobacteria; Legionellales; Legionellaceae.
CGAGUCAGCCAGGCAAUCGCUGUCCGCCUAGCGGAUGGAGGAAAGUCCGGGCUCCGUAGGGUAGACUGCCAGGUAACGCCUGGGCGGCGUAAGCCGACGGAAAGUGCCACAGAAAAUAUACCGCCCGACCACGCCAAUCUGGCGUGGUCAGGUAAGGGUGAAAUGGUGCGGUAAGCGCGCACCGCGCGGCCAGUAAUGGUCGUGGCAGGGCAAACCCCAGUUGGAGCAAGACCGAAUAGAGAUGCACUGGCGUGACCCGCGCUGCAUCUGGGUUGGUUGCUGGAGCUGCAUGGCGACAUGCAGUCGAGAUGAAUGAUUGUCCUCGACAGAACCCGGCUUAUCGGCUGGCUCAAUUC